AUGUGGUCGGCGGUUGAGGGAGGGUCUCCGACUAGAGCAGCAGGAGCAAGGAGCUCAAGGAGGUUCAGUUUGCUGGUCCAUAUUAAUUUCCUCGAGCUUAUUUUCACAUCUCGUCAUAUUUACACCUCUCCGCCGACUGCCACCUAUCAUGGAGGGAGAUGGCUUGGCCAGGCCGUCAAGACCCAUCGGCAACUUCCAGCAGGCGUCGUCCCGUACUUCUGCAUGAUAUUCCUCUUGUUGCAACCUUUUCCCAUAGAAUCAAAAGGAAUUAGAUUGAAGAAAUUGCAGGAGGAAGGGUAUUCCUGGUGUGACAUUCAAAAGCAGUCAAAACGGUGA
This 336-nucleotide ribosomal RNA is filed under the name Triticum aestivum (bread wheat). RNAcentral describes it as "partial small subunit ribosomal RNA". The record is from RNAcentral. Lineage: Eukaryota; Viridiplantae; Streptophyta; Magnoliopsida; Poales; Poaceae.